AGAAAACACUUAAAGACUAAAAAAGAGGAGAAGAAUAGAGUUUGGUAAAAUUAACCAAGAUAUCAGAAAGUUUUGGCAUUAUGUGCAGAUUUCAACAGCCAUUUCCUUCACUUCUGCAAAGACAGAGCUGCCAAGAAAACCUAAAACAUAAUGCAGAAAGAAUCAUAAAUCUUCAUAUUCUAAGUCAACUGAUUGCAUGAACUACUUGAGCAGAACUUGAGUCCUUGAUGAAUAAAGCUGGGGACAUAAUGGAAAUUCAUGGAGUUCCAAAAGCUUGAUUUGCAGAAAACAACCAUGAAAUAGCAUAUGAGCAGAUCUAGGAUUUCCAAGAUGAGGAAUUUUCCUCUACCAAUGCCGAUUGUCACCUUUGCUGCACCCCAUCACCUCAGUGAGUUGCCUAGAACAUGGAGAGAGUAAACGAUUACCCAGGGUUAUACAGCCAAUAUGUGUGAGUGGGACUUCCUACCCUAACCAGAGUCUGAAUAAUGUCUGUAUUUUAUGGAAUAGAGACAAGGCCUUCAGGAGCACUGCCUACCUUGCCCAAAUGACAGUCCGAUGAUCAACUAGUAAUAUAUUAUAAUCAUUUCUAAUGUAAAUCUUUGAACUUCUCAGGACUGAGUAGAAAUUCAAUUCAAAUGGAUGUUGAAAAAUGAAAAGACAUGUGCAAAUGGUUAGGGAAUAUAGCUUCAGAAUAUAGCUUCCACCUGCCAUUCUGAAUCACAGAAUCCUACAGUUAGCCAGACUCUAAUUUCCUUAAGGGCAGGUCAAAUCCCUCUGAGUAGGAGACAGUCAGGUGGCUGAGUGGGUAAACACUGAGCUGGGAGGGAGUACAAGUCCCUCCUCAGAUAUUUACUAGCAUCACUUACUCUCAGUCUCCGUUUCUUUAUAUGUAAAAUAAGCCCAAUAAUGGAAUUAAUAUAUGUACAGCACUUCCCAAAACUUAAAGCGCUAUGUAAAUGCUAGCUAUUACUACUAAUGCCUAUCCCCCAUCUAUGGAGGAUACCCUAAAGUUGGGCCAUGUACCAUGAAGAACUGAUGGUCAUUUACAGGGGCAUAUUGUGUUAAGGUUGUGUCCAGUUAAGAGGAAACAAAUUGGGAAUAAGACAGAGGAAACCAGAGGGAAGAGAAAGGAGACGUAGGAGAUAUGCAGGAAAAGAAGAGAUCCCUAAAAUAAAGAGCUGAAAAUCAGCUAUGAAAACCCA
This 1202-nucleotide long non-coding RNA is filed under the name Monodelphis domestica (gray short-tailed opossum). RNAcentral's name for it is "lncRNA (ENSMODG00000043576.1)". Lineage: Eukaryota; Metazoa; Chordata; Mammalia; Didelphimorphia; Didelphidae. The record is from RNAcentral.